This 446-nucleotide ribosomal RNA is filed under the name uncultured bacterium. Its description in RNAcentral is "partial 16S ribosomal RNA". It matches the Rfam family "Bacterial small subunit ribosomal RNA", at positions 338 to 795 of the family's 1533-position model. The record is from RNAcentral.
CCUACGGGCGACAGCAGUCGAGAAUCAUUCACAAUGGGGGAAACCCUGAUGGUGCGACGCCGCGUGGGGGAAUGAAGGUCUUCGGAUUGUAAACCCCUGUCAUGUGGGAGCAAAUUAAAAAGAUAGUACCACAAGAGGAAGAGACGGCUAACUCUGUCCCAGCAGCCGCGGUAAUACAGAGGUCUCAAGCGUUGUUCGGAAUCACUGGGCGUAAAGCGUGCGUAGGCUGUUUCGUAAGUCGUGUGUGAAAGGCGCGGGCUCAACCCGCGGACGGCACAUGAUACUGCGAGACUAGAGUAAUGGAGGGGGAACCGGAAUUCUCGGUGUAGCAGUGAAAUGCGUAGAUAUCGAGAGGAACACUCGUGGCGAAGGCGGGUUACUGGACAUUAACUGACGCUGAGGCACGAAGGCCAGGGGAGCGAAAGGGAUUAGAUACCCCGGUAGUC